This 338-nucleotide ribosomal RNA is filed under the name uncultured Clostridium sp. RNAcentral's name for it is "bacterial SSU rRNA". It matches the Rfam family "Bacterial small subunit ribosomal RNA", at positions 505 to 849 of the family's 1533-position model. The record is from RNAcentral. Lineage: Bacteria; Bacillati; Bacillota; Clostridia; Eubacteriales; Clostridiaceae.
GUGCCAGCCGCAGCGGUAAUACGUAGGGGCAAGCGUUAUCCGGAAUUACUGGGUGUAAAGGGAGAGUAGGCGGUCAGGUAAGUAAGAUGUGAAAGCCCGCAGCUUAACUGCGGGAUUGCAUUUUAAACUAUCUGACUAGAGUACAGGAGAGGGAAGCGGAAUUCCUAGUGUAGCGGUGAAAUGCGUAGAUAUUAGGAAGAACACCAGUGGCGAAGGCGGCUUUCUGGACUGAAACUGACGCUGAGGCUCGAAAGCGUGGAGCAAACAGGAUUAGAUACCCUGGUAGUCCACGCUGUAACGAUGAGUGCUAGGUGUCGGGGGGAACCCGUCGGUGCCGC